AUACAGGCUUUAAUAAAAGCCAUUAUCACAAAGUAAAAAUGACGU
Non-coding RNA from Thalassotalea sp. ND16A, 45 nucleotides. The record is from Rfam. Lineage: Bacteria; Pseudomonadati; Pseudomonadota; Gammaproteobacteria; Alteromonadales; Colwelliaceae.